AUGACCCAAAGGCAGUCGAAUGUGAACCCGAAAGCUAUCAAGCUACUACUGUUUCCAUUCUCUUUUACCGGGGAAGCUUAGACUUGGCUAAAUUCGCUCCCUAUCAAUUCCAUAGCCACUUGGGAGGAAUUAGUCAAGCAGUUUCUGAAUAAGUUCUAUCCACCCAAUAAGACUGCAAGACAAAUUGAUGAAAUAUUGCAGUAUAAGCAGCAGCCGACUGAGUCCUUGCAAGAAAUGUGGGAAAGAUUUAAUGUUAUGCUAGUGAAGUGCCCUCACCAUGGAAUUCCAGACCAGAUGCUUGCCAGAGAUUCUACAUGGGAUUAGCUGACAAUUUAAAGGAAAAUGUGGAUGCUUCUGGGGGAGGUGCAUUUUUGAGUAAGACAUUCACCGAGUGCAAAAUCUUUCUUGAUAAGAUGUCAUAAAAUUCGGGGUGGAUGACUAGAGCUACAACACUGGCCCCCAUAAUGCAUUCAGUUCCUCUUAACCCAAACAAUUCACACGCAGAGAAUAUGGCCACACGCAUGCCCCAUAUGAGCAUAUUGACAAAGACGAUUGAUGAGAUUGAUACAAAACAGGUACACAUUAUUGAUACAACAAAUGGAGGACUGUGCACACCUUGUAUUAAUUAGUCUUAUGUGUGUUCAUGGAGCGUAUAAGGCGAAAAUCAAGGGGCAAGGGAAGAUAUGAAUUAUGUUAACAACUAAAGAGGUCAGAAACAAGGAGCACGUCAGUGGAGACCGCUACAAAAUAAGUAGUACAUGCCUAAUAUACAAUAGCUUGGAGGUAUGCAUCCUCAGAACCAAAUGGUGCCAGUACCAUAUCAGAAACCACAGGGCUAUCCACAGCAAAACCAACAACAAUUAGCUUAUCAACCACCUCCUCAGCAACAAGAUAACAAUAUGGUGGAAAUCAAGGGUAUGCUUCAGCAACUCACUGGGACAAAUAAUAAAGUGCAGGAAAAAUUGGCAGUGCAUGAUUCAGCCAUAAAGAAUAUUGAAAUGCAGUUGGGACAUAUGUCCAUGGAUUUGAACAACCGUCAUUAGGAAACCCUGCAUGCAAACACUAACAUAAACCCCAAAGAGCAAAACCCAAAUUAGUUGAUGACAAUCAGUCUCCGAAACGGGAGAGAUUUAGACAAAGAGCAGGAAAUUGCACAAGUCAGUAAUGAUACUGCACCAGCCACUCUAGUUCCGUUAGAGGUGGAGGAACCAACAAAACUUACUGAAGUGGUGGUUGAGAAGAGUCAGGAGGAAAAAGGCAAAGAGAAGAUGGAUGAGAAAGCUAAAGAACAGGUGGCACCUCUUGUGCCAGAAAAUUCCAACAGAGAGAAGCCAAUAAGCAAUGCACAAAAGGUGAUACGUGCACCCUUCCCUCAGAGACUGGUUAAACAAAAGAAGGAAGUUCAAUACCAGAAAUUUAUGGAGAUGUUGCUUCAGAUUCAGUUGAAUAAUCCUUUGAUGGAUGCUUUGAGGGAUGUCUGGUUAUGCAAAGAUGAUGAAAGAUUUAUUGUCACGAAUGUUUGAUUUUCAGGAUCUUUCAAAUGUGACUCUCAUAUAUACCUGCAACACAGUAGUGACAAGAUCGAUGGCUCAAAAGAUGUCUGAUCCAGGUAGUUUCACUAUUCUGUGCACAAUUGGGAGCUACCCUUUACGAAGGCCUUAUGCGAUUUGGGGGCCAGCAUCAAUUUGAUGUCACUGGCUGUGUACACUAAGUUGGGCAUCGGCAGAGCUAGAACGACUUCUAUGUUACUAUAGUUGGCUGAUCGUACGGUGAAAAGGCCAACUGGUAUUCUUGAUGAUGUGUUGGUGCAGGUAGGGAAGUUCGUGUUCCCAGCAGACUUUGUUAUCCUAGACUUCCAGGUAGAUGAGGAGAUACCUCUCAUUCUGGGUAGACAAGUUUUAGCAACUGGCAUAGCACUAAUCGAUUAUGAGACUGUGCAACUAAAAAUGAGAUUGAAUGAUAAAGAAGACAUAUUCAAUGUUCAGCAAUCUAUGAGAAGACCCAGCGAAUAUGAUAAUUGCUCUUUAGUGGAUGCAGUAAAUGUGAUUCUACAAAAGGACGACGCGGCCCUAACUGUGAAAGACCCAUUGAAUGUAUGUCUGAAAAAUCUAGAAAAGAUAGAUAGUGAAGGAUUAGUUGAAUGGGUCAUGGCACUUGAAGGCCGAGGAUUCUAGACAAGGGAACCUCAAUUUGAGUCCCUUGAAUUAGAAAAAAGGGCUACACCUCCAGCAAAGCCAUCAAUAGAAAAACCACCCAAACUGGAGCUAAAGCCACUCCCAAAUCACCUCCGGUAUGUGUUCUUGGGCCUUGAUUCGACCUUGCCUGUUAUUAUAUCAUCCGGUUUGCUAGAUGUGCAGGUAGAACGGCUCUUACAGGUACUACAAGAAAACAAGACUGCCAUUUGUGUUCUUGGUCCCUGAUUCGACCUUGCAUGUUAUUAUAUCAUCGGGUUUGCUAAAUGUACAGGUAGAACGGCUCUUACAUGUAGUGCGAGAAAAC
This 2499-nucleotide long non-coding RNA is filed under the name Nicotiana benthamiana. RNAcentral's name for it is "long non-coding RNA (NBEN_LNC028432)". The record is from RNAcentral. Lineage: Eukaryota; Viridiplantae; Streptophyta; Magnoliopsida; Solanales; Solanaceae.